CUACGGGGUGCUCCAGUAAGGAAUAUUGGUCAAUGGACGCAAGUCUGAACCAGCCAUGCCGCGUGAAGGAUGAAGGUCCUCUGGAUUGUAAACUUCUUUUAUAGGGGGCGAAAAAAGGGAAAUCUUUCUCACUUGACAGUACCCUAUGAAUAAGCACCGGCUAACUCCGUGCCAGCAGCCGCGGUAAUACGGAGGGUGCAAGCGUUAUCCGGAUUCACUGGGUUUAAAGGGUGCGUAGGCGGGCGUAUAAGUCAGUGGUGAAAUCCUGGAGCUUAACUCCAGAACUGCCAUUGAUACUAUAUGUCUUGAAUAUGGUGGAGGUAAGCGGAAUAUGUCAUGUAGCGGUGAAAUGCAUAGAUAUGACAUAGAACACCUAUUGCGAAGGCAGCUUACUACGCCUAUAUUGACGCUGAGGCACGAAAGCGUGGGGAUCAAACAGGAUUAGAUACCCUGGUAGUC
This 459-nucleotide ribosomal RNA is filed under the name uncultured bacterium. RNAcentral describes it as "partial 16S ribosomal RNA". It matches the Rfam family "Bacterial small subunit ribosomal RNA", at positions 339 to 795 of the family's 1533-position model. The record is from RNAcentral.